Megalobrama amblycephala (Wuchang bream) is the source of this 407-nucleotide long non-coding RNA. RefSeq lists it as uncharacterized. The transcript has 3 exons. The record is from RefSeq and is a predicted model, not a curated record. NCBI's taxonomy places the organism in Eukaryota, Metazoa, Chordata, Actinopteri, Cypriniformes, Xenocyprididae.
CUCACGGUAUCGCGAGAGUUCCUCCAUGCGGGCAAACGCUAUCAGGUGAGAUCGCGAGAGUUGGCUCACACGAGUAAACGCCAUCAAUGGAAAACAUCACUCAUCAUGUGUUGUGAUCUUUCUCCGUUUAUUCUCAGAUCAGCUCCUCCCACACUGGGAUUAAUCAUCAGUGAAGCUCCUCCCACAUCAGUCACAUCAUCAGUGAAGCUCCUCACACUGGAAUGGAUCAAUAAAUGCUGGGAUAUUCCAAUCAGAUGACUAUCAGGAAGAGCUGAAAUCUGCAAUGACUGAGUUUAUUAAAGAGGACAGAGAGAACAUGAGUGAUCCAGAUCCCUGCAGAAUGAAACACACUGAAGAUACUGAAGAACAAAGAGAGCUGAUGGAAGUGAAGGAGGAGAGUGAAGAAC